CCUACGGGUGGCAGCAGUGGGGGAUAUUGCACAAUGGGGGGAACCCUGAUGCAGCGACGCCGCGUGGGUGAAGGAGCGUUUCGGCGCGUAAAGCCCUAUCGGCAGGGAAGAAGGAGGCCGGUACCUGACUAAGAAGCCCCGGCUAACUACGUCCCAGCAGCCGCGGUAAUCCGUAGGGGGCCAGCGUUAUCCGGAUUUAUUGGGUGAAAAGGGGGCGCAGUCGGCAGCUCAAGCCAGAAGUGAAAGCCCAGGGCUCAACCCUGGAACGUCCUUUGAAACUGCCGGGCUGGAGUGCAGGAGAGGUGAGCGGAAUUCCAAGUGUAGCGGUGAAAUGCGUAGAUAUUAGGAGGAACACCAGUGGCGAAGGCGGCUUACUGGACUGUAACUGACGUUGAGGCUCGAAAGCGUGGGGAGCAAACAGGAUUAGAUACCCGGGUAGUC
This 441-nucleotide ribosomal RNA is filed under the name uncultured bacterium. RNAcentral describes it as "partial 16S ribosomal RNA". It matches the Rfam family "Bacterial small subunit ribosomal RNA", at positions 338 to 795 of the family's 1533-position model. The record is from RNAcentral.